GGUAGUGGCUCAAUGGUAGAACACUUGCCUAGCAUGUGUGCAGCACUGGGUUCAAUUCUCAGCACCA
Molecule: transfer RNA, 67 nt
Filed under: Marmota monax (woodchuck)
Lineage: Eukaryota; Metazoa; Chordata; Mammalia; Rodentia; Sciuridae
Description: tRNA.Ala
Source: RNAcentral